UUAAGCGACUAAGCGUACACGGUGGAUGCCCUGGCAGUCAGAGGCGAUGAAGGACGUGCUAAUCUGCGAUAAGCGUCGGUAAGGUGAUAUGAACCGUUAUAACCGGCGAUUUCCGAAUGGGGAAACCCAGUGUGUUUCGACACACUAUCAUUAACUGAAUCCAUAGGUUAAUGAGGCGAACCGGGGGAACUGAAACAUCUAAGUACCCCGAGGAAAAGAAAUCAACCGAGAUUCCCCCAGUAGCGGCGAGCGAACGGGGAGCAGCCCAGAGCCUGAAUCAGUGUGUGUGUUAGUGGAAGCGUCUGGAAAGGCGCGCGAUACAGGGUGACAGCCCCGUACACAAAAAUGCACAUGCUGUGAGCUCGAUGAGUAGGGCGGGACACGUGGUAUCCUGUCUGAAUAUGGGGGGACCAUCCUCCAAGGCUAAAUACUCCUGACUGACCGAUAGUGAACCAGUACCGUGAGGGAAAGGCGAAAAGAACCCCGGCGAGGGGAGUGAAAAAGAACCUGAAACCGUGUACGUACAAGCAGUGGGAGCACAGAGCAAUCUGUGUGACUGCGUACCUUUUGUAUAAUGGGUCAGCGACUUAUAUUCUGUAGCAAGGUUAACCGAAUAGGGGAGCCGAAGGGAAACCGAGUCUUAACUGGGCGUUAAGUUGCAGGGUAUAGACCCGAAACCCGGUGAUCUAGCCAUGGGCAGGUUGAAGGUUGGGUAACACUAACUGGAGGACCGAACCGACUAAUGUUGAAAAAUUAGCGGAUGACUUGUGGCUGGGGGUGAAAGGCCAAUCAAACCGGGAGAUAGCUGGUUCUCCCCGAAAGCUAUUUAGGUAGCGCCUCGUGAAUUCAUCUCCGGGGGUAGAGCACUGUUUCGGCAAGGGGGUCAUCCCGACUUACCAACCCGAUGCAAACUACGAAUACCGGAGAAUGUUAUCACGGGAGACACACGGCGGGUGCUAACGUCCGUCGUGAAGAGGGAAACAACCCAGACCGCCAGCUAAGGUCCCAAAGUCAUGGUUAAGUGGGAAACGAUGUGGGAAGGCCCAGACAGCCAGGAUGUUGGCUUAGAAGCAGCCAUCAUUUAAAGAAAGCGUAAUAGCUCACUGGUCGAGUCGGCCUGCGCGGAAGAUGUAACGGGGCUAAACCAUGCACCGAAGCUGCGGCAGCGACGCUGAUGCGUUGUUGGGUAGGGGAGCGUUCUGUAAGCCUGCGAAGGUGUGCUGUGAGGCAUGCUGGAGGUAUCAGAAGUGCGAAUGCUGACAUAAGUAACGAUAAAGCGGGUGAAAAGCCCGCUCGCCGGAAGACCAAGGGUUCCUGUCCAACGUUAAUCGGGGCAGGGUGAGUCGACCCCUAAGGCGAGGCCGAAAGGCGUAGUCGAUGGGAAACAGGUUAAUAUUCCUGUACUUGGUGUUACUGCGAAGGGGGGACGGAGAAGGCUAUGUUGGCCGGGCGACGGUUGUCCCGGUUUAAGCGUGUAGGCUGGUUUUCCAGGCAAAUCCGGAAAAUCAAGGCUGAGGCGUGAUGACGAGGCACUACGGUGCUGAAGCAACAAAUGCCCUGCUUCCAGGAAAAGCCUCUAAGCAUCAGGUAACAUCAAAUCGUACCCCAAACCGACACAGGUGGUCAGGUAGAGAAUACCAAGGCGCUUGAGAGAACUCGGGUGAAGGAACUAGGCAAAAUGGUGCCGUAACUUCGGGAGAAGGCACGCUGAUAUGUAGGUGAAGUCCCUCGCGGAUGGAGCUGAAAUCAGUCGAAGAUACCAGCUGGCUGCAACUGUUUAUUAAAAACACAGCACUGUGCAAACACGAAAGUGGACGUAUACGGUGUGACGCCUGCCCGGUGCCGGAAGGUUAAUUGAUGGGGUCAGCGCAAGCGAAGCUCUUGAUCGAAGCCCCGGUAAACGGCGGCCGUAACUAUAACGGUCCUAAGGUAGCGAAAUUCCUUGUCGGGUAAGUUCCGACCUGCACGAAUGGCGUAAUGAUGGCCAGGCUGUCUCCACCCGAGACUCAGUGAAAUUGAACUCGCUGUGAAGAUGCAGUGUACCCGCGGCAAGACGGAAAGACCCCGUGAACCUUUACUAUAGCUUGACACUGAACAUUGAGCCUUGAUGUGUAGGAUAGGUGGGAGGCUUUGAAGUGUGGACGCCAGUCUGCAUGGAGCCGACCUUGAAAUACCACCCUUUAAUGUUUGAUGUUCUAACGUGGACCCGUAAUCCGGGUUGCGGACAGUGUCUGGUGGGUAGUUUGACUGGGGCGGUCUCCUCCUAAAGAGUAACGGAGGAGCACGAAGGUUGGCUAAUCCUGGUCGGACAUCAGGAGGUUAGUGCAAUGGCAUAAGCCAGCUUGACUGCGAGCGUGACGGCGCGAGCAGGUGCGAAAGCAGGUCAUAGUGAUCCGGUGGUUCUGAAUGGAAGGGCCAUCGCUCAACGGAUAAAAGGUACUCCGGGGAUAACAGGCUGAUACCGCCCAAGAGUUCAUAUCGACGGCGGUGUUUGGCACCUCGAUGUCGGCUCAUCACAUCCUGGGGCUGAAGUAGGUCCCAAGGGUAUGGCUGUUCGCCAUUUAAAGUGGUACGCGAGCUGGGUUUAGAACGUCGUGAGACAGUUCGGUCCCUAUCUGCCGUGGGCGCUGGAGAAUUGAGGGGGGCUGCUCCUAGUACGAGAGGACCGGAGUGGACGCAUCACUGGUGUUCGGGUUGUCAUGCCAAUGGCACUGCCCGGUAGCUAAAUGCGGAAGAGAUAAGUGCUGAAAGCAUCUAAGCACGAAACUUGCCCCGAGAUGAGUUCUCCCUGACUCCUUGAGAGUCCUGAAGGAACGUUGAAGACGACGACGUUGAUAGGCCGGGUGUGUAAGCGCAGCGAUGCGUUGAGCUAACCGGUACUAAUGAACCGUGAGGCUUAACCUU
Molecule: ribosomal RNA, 2904 nt
Filed under: Escherichia coli
Lineage: Bacteria; Pseudomonadati; Pseudomonadota; Gammaproteobacteria; Enterobacterales; Enterobacteriaceae
Description: bacterial LSU rRNA
Rfam family: Bacterial large subunit ribosomal RNA
Source: RNAcentral